Long non-coding RNA from Tigriopus californicus, 777 nucleotides. RefSeq lists it as uncharacterized. The transcript has 2 exons. NCBI's taxonomy places the organism in Eukaryota, Metazoa, Arthropoda, Copepoda, Harpacticoida, Harpacticidae. The record is from RefSeq and is a predicted model, not a curated record.
AGACAUGUUUUUCACAUUCCAUCAAUGUGCCAAUUUGAAAACUCGCUUCGCUUUCACUUUGUCAAAACUAGACUCAGCUGUUCCGUGACUGAGGGGCGUUCUUCGUCUCUGUCCACAAAAACGCUUCCACCGAUGGGAUCUGUCCUUAAUUUUCUACCCUCGCCAGGUUCCAAUAAUAAAUCCCUCGACUUUUCGUACCAAGUACCGAGUGUCCGGCACAUCCGUCAUAUUUUGGCAUCCUAUGAAGCAUUCAUCAAUUCUCCAAUACUCAAAUAUGGUGACUAAGGCUGGCAGGUCCCUCUGGCACGACUUCACUCUCCAAAUCCUCUCCCCGCCCUUUGGGUUGAUGGGGUUCGUUCCGAAGUUGGAAACGCGCCGUCCUUCGCUCAUUCAGUCAGUCAGUCGAAGUCUCUAUUCUGCGUUCUCUUUGCUUUUGCCAUCCGAGUCACGACUACUGGAAACCAGUGAAGGUCGCAAAGAGGCUCGAACAGUGACCGACGGAGGAAUGUCAAAAGGAUUCUACUAAAGGCCCUCAGUCAUUCAACAAACGGCGGGCUUACGAUAUCAUCCUGUCCAGGAACAAAGUGAAGAGGGAAAAUAUUUUUUUCCGGAUUUAGGAUAUCCAAAAACAUCUUAUCAACAAAGGUUCUUUGAUCGCAAAUAAGAACAAUGACGCAACAAAGGCUCGCUAUGAUUCUUUUGGCAUUGACAUUGUUGGUUCGAGUUGGAUUCACAUCUUCAUCGAUAAGCAAUCUCACUUCCAAAGAUAUUGACAGG